GCUGCCUGGGACUCGGCCACCCGGCGAGAAGGGGCCGGCGGAUAGAUCCCUGCUCCCAACCUCAGGCUGACGGGCGGCCGAGGGCAAGGGCCACGGCCAGAGAGAUCCGGAAGCUGAGGUGGGGUUUGCGAUGGCGGUGGCGAGCUGCCGGGACCAGGGGUGGAGGCGUGCAACACAAGCCCUCCCGCACUUGUAAAGGGAUGCCCAGUAGAAUAUUCCUCUUCAGACUCAGGCGGCCCAUGCAGGAGGGAUCUGAGGCUGAGUCCUUCAGCCAGACCACAGAGCAUGGCCACCUGCAGACACGCCAAACGAAGACACAUAACUUCUGUCUCCCUCCAGUGGCACCGAGCCUUGCGGGGCCAUACAUAUAAGAAAAACGCCUGCAACUCAGGAAUCCUGAAAUGAUUUAUUGUGUGGUUUCCUAUUUACCGAGGAGAACAAACAGCAGAGUUACAGAACACUCAAGGAGCAAUCAAGGAGGAUAGGGAACAGGGGCACAGAUGAAAGAUGCCCCCCUCCAACAGGAUCCCUACGCCCUGGAUCCUGCUGGGAAUGGAGUCCUGUUAGGGGUCUAAUGGCAACACGGCGUGGCUGCAGAGGGUCUGGAGGACAACAAGCGGCCCCUCGCAGGUAUUCCGCACAGGGGAGCUAAGGACACGGUCCUUAAGGGAGAGAACACCAGCCCGCCACGCCACACGUGGGAGGGCAGGCUGCUUCCACCAGCAAGGCAGGCUCGGGGGGACCGGGGGCUUCCCGAUGGCCAGCGUUAGCUGAGGCCAACCAGGCAGUCCCGGAGCCACGUUUCAGGGUCCCACGCCUCCAGCCGCUGCCGACCCCUGUUCACAUAAGAAAGGCGGAGAGGCUGAGAACUCAGCUGACUCUGGCAUUCUGCAAGCCGCGCGAGGACAGUGCUUGAUUUGCAGCACCGUCAGCCCUGCAGCUCCAGGACACGAGGGAGUUUUCAGGGCUGCCCUGCAAGUUCUCUGGCUGUCACCCAGUGACUUGAGCUGAGAGGCGACAGCCCUGACCUUGUCGUUUUUUCUCUGCGCCCAUGCCCAGGUGCCCUCAGGACUCGUCCCCUACCGCGGGCUUUAGCACCAUCGUUGCCUCCGUGACAGUUCAGGGCGGCAGCCACUCCCGCUCCCCAGGCGCGAGCUGCGGUGGGCCCGUCAUCCCAGUCGACCGCGGGUGAGAGCGGGACGAAUUGUGAGGCCCCUGCAGGCCAUGGGUGCCUCGAGCCCCGUUGGUCACUCGGGGGUCAGACAGCUAAGGGACAGAGAGAGUACAGGAAGAAGCAGCCACCCCUGGAGCCAGGGGGAGAAGGGAAGGGGCGCGUGUCCUCGGAAGCCUCGCAGCCAGGAUGAGGGGAGUUGAAGAGCAGAGCCCAGCCUCUCUGAGGACGGGCGGCUGCCCUUUCGCAGGGAAGGAGGAAGCGCCAUCCUCGGCUAAGAGGAAAUGGCCACGGCUCCGUCUUCCAGGGCAGGGCGCUGGUUCCUUCUUCAGUGAUACCUCUUUGUGUUUGGAUUCAUCUGUUGGGCUCUUGACUUCAAUGCCCUUGGUGCUGGGGGUCUUUCUCUUUUCCCUGUUAGGGCUGCCCUUGCGGUACCUGGAAGGUGCCAGGCUAGGGCUCAGAUCACAGCCGCACCUGCCGGCCUAUGCCUCAGCAAUGCAGGAUCCAAGCCACACCUGCCACCUCCCCUGCAGCUUGGGGCAACGCUGGGACCCUAACAGACGGAUCGAGGCCAGGGAUGGGACUCGCAUCCUCCUGGAUACUGUGUCGAGUUCUUAACCCGCUGAGCCACAGCGGGAACUCCCGCCCUCCCCCCCCCUUUUCUUUUUACCGCUAAAGUGCCUUUUCCUUUUGAUUUUCUUCUUCUUUUUAUAGCCACACCCCUGGCAUGUGGAAGUUCCCAAGCCAGGGCUCGAACCUGAGCCACAGCGGUGACAACUCCGGAUCCUUAGCCUACUGUGCCACCAGGGAACUCCUAAAGUUCUUUUUCUUUUUCAAAUCUGCCUGGGCUUUUUUUUAAGUAGGCUUCUCUUUUUGAUCCCUUCUCUUAUAUAUUGAUUUGCAUGUGUCUUGGGGGCUGCUGAAGAUUUGGGGCGUUGGGGUAGCUGUCUGUCACACAGUAAUGCAAAGGCGUUGUAAGUAUCCACGAGAACUGCUUUUUGUUUGUUCAUUUGUUUGUUUUUUAGAGCCUGGGGUGUGGCAUAUGGAGUUCCCAGACUAGGGGUUGAAUCGGAGCUACAGCUGCCAGCCUAGGCCACAGCUAUAGCAACCCGGGAUCCGAACGGUGUCUGCAGCCUACACGACAGUUCACGGCAAGGCCGCGUCCCUGACCCACUGAGCGAGGCCAGGGAUCAAACCCGCGUCCUCAUGGAUACCCAUUGGAUUUGUUUCUGCUACGCCAUGAGAACUGCUUUCUGAUUCAAAAAUAAUGACUUUCGGGAGUUCCCGUCGUGGCGCAGUGGUUAACGAAUCCGACUAGGAACCAUGAGGUUGCGGGUUCGGUCCCUGCCCUUGCUCAGUGGGUUAACGAUCCGGCGUUGCCGUGAGCUGUGGUGUAGGUUGCAGGCGCGGCUCGGAUCCCGCGUUGCCUGUGGCUCUGGCGUAGGCCGGUGGCUACAGCUCCGAUUCAACCCCUAGCCUGGGAACCUCCAUAUGCCGCGGGAGCGGCCCAAGAAAUAGCAACAACAACAACAACAACAACAAAAAGACAAAAAAAAAAUAAUAAUGACUUUCCACCUAAGAUACAUAGCCAGGGAGUUCCCAUUGGGGUGGCUCAGCAGAAAGGAAUCCCACUAGUAUCGCUGAGGAGGUGGGUUCGAUCCCUGGCCUCCCUCAGGGGGUUAAGGCUCAGGUGUUGCCGAAGUCGCAGACGCGGCUUGGACCUGGCGUGGGUGUGGCUGUGGUGUAGGGUGGCAGCUACACCUCUGAUUCGACCCCUAGCCCGGGUACUUCCAUAUGCCGAGGGUGCGGCCCUAAAAAAUAAAAAAAAAAAAAAGUUGUAUAACCCAGAAAUCAAUUGAGAUUUUAAUAAACUUGGUC
This 3049-nucleotide long non-coding RNA is filed under the name Sus scrofa (pig). RNAcentral's name for it is "lncRNA (ENSSSCG00000051894.1)". The record is from RNAcentral. Lineage: Eukaryota; Metazoa; Chordata; Mammalia; Artiodactyla; Suidae.